AGUUUGAGGGACCAGAUGUUAACACGAAUUCUUAGUGCUUUGGAAGGAACAUGAGAAAGUAUCAUUUUCUCUUUUUAGCUGAUUUUUCAAAUCUGCUAUUUCUUUGCUAUUUUCUGAUCUCUGAGAUCCUUGGAAAUUUUUAUCCGUCGAUAAUUUCUUUGGACUGUAAGCUGCAUAAGAUCUUGGUACACGAAGUUCACAAGAGAAACAUAACAACUUCCAUGCUUCUGCUUUAGAUGCUAUGAGGAUAUUGAGACCUUUAGCUUUCUACGGUGUUGUCCGUUUCACCUCCUUAUGUUUGUGGUGCUCGUAGUCUGCGCGUCCUUUUCAGUUUGUUUUGAAGAAAAAUCAGUGAACAAAUUUUGAAGCUGUAGAGGCACUUAUCAAACACCCUGCUUCACUAUAUAUGUUCCACAAUCAAGAGGGAACUCGAUUCUUGACUUUUGAAAGCCAUAAGAUCUAGAUACCUUCAGUUUAUUUGAAGGUUGGAUUGUUGCUUCAGUUUUUUUAGUUCGUUCACACUUUGGAACAUCAGAAGAUGACAUACUCUUCAAGGCUGAAGAGUAGUAGUUCUUCAAACAACCUAGUGAAACAAUGUAGUGUUUUACUUUUCAGAUUUUUUUGGUCAAUGAUAUAUUGAUUUGGAUUAGUUUUCUGGCAUCUUAUUUGUCCAUUCAUUUUGAAAUGCAUUUGCUGAAGCUGGAUUAAGAUUUUGAAGGUCAGCUUCAUCUUCUUUGACGGCUUUCUAGUCCACAGCUGAAGGGGAAAGUUGAAAUGUCGCUAGUUGGUGGGUGUUCUUAAUUUUGAUUAGUUGAAUUGUUAAAGUUAGCUAAACGAAGAUCAGUGUUUGAUAAUAACUGAAAUAAAAGCAUAUGUUUUUGGGAUAUCUAACACAGAGAGCUCCUCAAAAAGGUAUCUUGCUGCUGAGUUCUCUCAGUAUGGUCGAUCACCUAUGGCUUAGAUGUACUUCUGCCAUAUAUUUGCUUGGCACUCGUUAGUUGGUUGAAAUAAGUGAAGGAAAGUAUAUGACCUUAAAUUGGAUCAAUUGGCAUUGUCAAGAAUUUAUCCGAGAUGUUAGAAUCCUUCAUAUUUGUUGUUUUAUGUUUUGCUGUUAUUGGCAUCGACUUCGUUGGGUACAUUUGAUCUGAGUCAACCUAAUGGGGUCAGAUGAGUGAAAUCUGUAGGACUGCAGAUUCUGCUGCCCAA
Molecule: long non-coding RNA, 1206 nt
Filed under: Nicotiana benthamiana
Lineage: Eukaryota; Viridiplantae; Streptophyta; Magnoliopsida; Solanales; Solanaceae
Description: long non-coding RNA (NBEN_LNC031780)
Source: RNAcentral